This 31-nucleotide non-coding RNA is filed under the name Homo sapiens (human). The record is from RNAcentral. Lineage: Eukaryota; Metazoa; Chordata; Mammalia; Primates; Hominidae.
UUGGAGUUCCUGCAGUGGCGGCCACACUUCU